CUACAAUAUAAAAAUUUAAAAAUGUAAUACCCUACAGCCGUCUCGGAAUAGCUGUCGAAUUAUUUUAUAAGGAAUCAUAAUUUUACGAACAUAUUUUAAAACGUUUUUGUAUAAUAUUUAAGUAAUUCAUACAUUCUUGAAAAAAAUACACUAGUAGAAAAUAAUUACCGUUAAGCGGGUUUCUUGCUAUUGUACGAAUAGAACAGCUGAACAACUAACGGUUACAUGAUUCCUAAGUUAGAUAAUUACAAAAAUCAAGCCUAUAAAUAUAUUUCUUUGGUAAUGAAUUUUAUAAAACUUUAGCGGACUUACAUAUGUAUAUGUAGAUAUAUAUAACGAAAACUGGUAUGCAUGUAUCGAUAACACUCAGAACGUCUACUGUAGGGUAACAAUACAAACGCAUAAAAGCUCCGAGUUUGCAAAAUAUUUAUUUCGACAACGACAGCCACGGUCUGCACAAGUGCUGUAAUUGUUUGUGCUUAUUUGAAACUCAGUUAAAAAAUUUCCAAAAAAAUUAAAAUGAAAUUAGCGAUUUUAUUAAUAUUUUGUUUAAUGCAAAUAUUUCUAAUUGGAGGCCAAAUAAAUGAAGAGCCCUCACCAAAUGUUUCUGGUGGUCAAAAGUAUUCUAUUAUAUUACAAGCACAUGAACUCACAAAACCAGCACGAACUCAUACUGGUAAACCAAUUGAACAACUAAAACAGGAAAAUAAUACUGAGAGACCAUGGUUAUAUCGAGUUUUUAACAUAUGAGCAACAAGCGAGAUGUAAUAAAAUAUAAAAAUAAUAAAAGUAUUUGACUCUUGCAAGAGAAACAACCAA
Long non-coding RNA from Bactrocera oleae (olive fruit fly), 819 nucleotides. RefSeq lists it as uncharacterized. NCBI's taxonomy places the organism in Eukaryota, Metazoa, Arthropoda, Insecta, Diptera, Tephritidae. The record is from RefSeq and is a predicted model, not a curated record.